Non-coding RNA from Heterocephalus glaber (naked mole-rat), 780 nucleotides. NCBI's taxonomy places the organism in Eukaryota, Metazoa, Chordata, Mammalia, Rodentia, Bathyergidae. The record is from RefSeq and is a predicted model, not a curated record.
CAGGGUCUCCAUAUAGUUGGAAGAGUUUCCUUAAGGAGGAAAUGAGAGUUCAUGAGUACAGAGUCACCAGCAGCCCAGAGCUCAGAACUGCUGCUGUAGAGGACAAAAAGCUGUUGUCAUAUCAAAGGAACAGUAUAUUGACCUUCACUGGACAGCUAAGAUACCGAGAAAGUCAACAACUCUCAGAAAGAUACAAUGUGGAAUUGGGAUUGGUAAAUACCAAGUACAGAGACUAUUAUGCUUCCAGGGAAAUUCAAAGUUGUUGAUCAGUGAGCUUACGAAAGCCUUUGGGGACAGGACAAAUAAUGGACCUGUUUACCUUCAUUUUUCACUAAUUGAAAACCCAAGGUCUGAGAAACUAAUAUUUCCUUUUUUCAAAACCCAGAUGUUUCUUCCUUUUCUUGAACAUGAACAACAAGGCAAAGAGCUUUGUGCAAGUAGAAAGCGUGGGGGAAACCUGGAGACUGCUAGCCACUUAAAAGGUGAGAGGACGAGGUUUCAUAUUCAGGAGAGGAGGAGAGACAAGAGAAAUUCUCCUAUGAAAAUAUUGCUUUAAAUAAUAAUAAACUAUAAAACUAAUAUCAAUGGCAUAAAUGUGGUAACCAUCUUUAAGAUAUGUAUAAUCUUUUGUAGCAUGCUAGAAAUUUUUUCUCAAGGCAUAACUGUGCUGAGUAUGGUACACAUAGUGGAAUGUAAGAUCAAAGGAGAGAUCAGAGUCAUAUUUUUGAAGGGAAUACUUUUUUUAAAGUCAUAAAUAUAAUAAUUUUCAGUAGAAAAAUG